GAUGAACGCUGGCGGCGUGCCUAAUACAUGCAAGUCGAGCGAACGGACGAGAAGCUUGCUUCUCUGAUGUUAGCGGCGGACGGGUGAGUAACACGUGGAUAACCUACCUAUAAGACUGGGAUAACUUCGGGAAACCGUAGCUAAUACCGGAUAAUAUUUUGAACCGCAUGGUUCAAAAGUGAAAGACGGUCUUGCUGUCACUUAUAGAUGGAUCCGCGCUGCAUUAGCUAGUUGGUAAGGUAACGGCUUACCAAGGCAACGAUGCAUAGCCGACCUGAGAGGGUGAUCGGCCGCACGGGAACUGAGACACGGUCCAGACUCCUACGGGAGGCAGCAGUAGGGAAUCUUCCGCAAUGGGCGAAAGCCUGACGGAGCAACGCCGCGUGAGUGAUGAAGGUCUUCGGAGCGUAAAACUCUGUUAUUAGGGAAGAACAUAUGUGUAAGUAACUGUGCACAUCUUGACGGUACCUAAUCAGAAAGCCACGGCUAACUACGUG
RNAcentral lists this ribosomal RNA (497 nucleotides) under uncultured bacterium. Its description in RNAcentral is "partial 16S ribosomal RNA". It matches the Rfam family "Bacterial small subunit ribosomal RNA", at positions 28 to 507 of the family's 1533-position model. The record is from RNAcentral.